AUUGAACGCUGGCGGCAGGCCUAACACAUGCAAGUCGAGCGGAUGAAGGGAGCUUGCUCCUGGAUUCAGCGGCGGACGGGUGAGUAAUGCCUAGGAAUCUGCCUGGUAGUGGGGGAUAACGUCCGGAUACGGGCGCUAAUACCGCAUACGUCCUGAGGGAGAAAGUGGGGGAUCUUCGGACCUCACGCUAUCAGAUGAGCCUAGGUCGGAUUAGCUAGUUGGUGGGGUAAAGGCUUACCAAGGCGACGAUCCGUAACUGGUCUGAGAGGAUGAUCAGUUACACGGGAACUGAGAAACGGUCCAGACUCCUACGGGAGGAAGCAGUGGGGAAUAUUGGACAAUGGGGGAAAGCCUGAUCCAGCCAUGCCGCGUGUGUGAAGAAGGUCUUCGGAUUGUAAAGCACUUUAAGUUGGAAGAAAGGGCAGUAAGUUAAUACCUUGCUGUUUUGACGUUACCAACAGAAUAAGCACCGGCUAACUUCGUG
Molecule: ribosomal RNA, 484 nt
Filed under: uncultured bacterium
Lineage: Bacteria
Description: partial 16S ribosomal RNA
Rfam family: Bacterial small subunit ribosomal RNA
Source: RNAcentral